UACGGGGGGUGCAAGCGUUACUCGGAAUCAUUGGGCGUAAAGGGCGCGUAGGCGGCCAGGUUAGUCAGAUGUGAAAGCCCAGGGCUUAACCCUGGAAGUGCAUUUGAUACUGCUUGGCUUGAGUAUGGGAGAGGGAAGUGGAAUUCCUGGUGUAGAGGUGAAAUUCGUAGAUAUCAGGAGGAACACCGGUGGCGAAGGCGACUUCCUGGACCAAUACUGACGCUGAGGCGCGAAGGCGUGGGGAGCAAACAGG
Molecule: ribosomal RNA, 253 nt
Filed under: uncultured bacterium
Lineage: Bacteria
Description: partial 16S ribosomal RNA
Rfam family: Bacterial small subunit ribosomal RNA
Source: RNAcentral